This 1548-nucleotide ribosomal RNA is filed under the name Candidatus Berkelbacteria bacterium. Its description in RNAcentral is "partial 23S ribosomal RNA". The stretch from base 443 to 1548 matches the Rfam family "Bacterial large subunit ribosomal RNA". Lineage: Bacteria; Candidatus Berkelbacteria. The record is from RNAcentral.
UAGUUUCAAUGUCUCUUUCAAAAAAGAGCGUAGUUAUGGUAUUGGUUGGAAAGUGGCCCUAUCGUUCAACAUAUCGCAACGUGAUGCCGGAAUUUUGAAAAAAAUUCAACAGGCAUUCGGGUGCGGUACGAUCCGCUUUCGUAAAGAUGGAGUGGGUUAUUUCGAAAUUCGUAGUCUCGAUGGACUAAAGAAUGUCGUUAUUCCCUUCUUUAACCAAUAUCAACUGCAAUCCAAAAAGAGAGCAGACUUUGAUACUUUUUGCGCAAUCGCCAACAUGGUCUUUGCUAAGCAACAUCUUACGUACAUUGGUAUGAAAAGGUUGUUAGCGUUAAGAGAAAACAUGAAUGGUGGUGGUAAAAGAAAGUUCUCUUCACGGACAAUCCUGUCACAGAUGCGAAUACAAUCCUCAGAGACUAUACGCCAAACACGCAGCAAUGCGUGAUGAUAUAGGCCGAUCUGCAUAGCGAUAUGCAGAGUCAGACAGAAAUGAUCUGACCUGUUAGUAAUAACAGUAACAACAAUGAACCGUCCUAUGGUUGGAAUAUAAACUGCCAUAGUGAGAGUAAUGCCAGCAAUGGUAGAGCCUCUCUGUUCGAACUUCUAUUGCCGGAAGAUGUAGAACAAAAACCUGACCAAAUGCUGGAACAUCUGAGUAUCCAACCGUACCAGAAAUGGUGACAAUCGGUUUGGUGCAGACAAUCAGCAGGAAAGACCUCAAAAAGGUAUCCCCAGAGACUAUACGUCAGGCUUGCAACAGCAAGAAGAUAUAGUCCGGACUAUCUGGCGACAGAUAGAGUACGACAGAAAUGAUCGUACCACGUGAAAACGUGCAACAACUUCAAGCGAAAUUCCUUGUCGGGUAAGUUCCGACCCGCACGAAUGGCAUAACGAUCUGGAUACUGUCUCAACGAAGGAUCCGGUGAAAUUCCACUUCCGGUAAAGAUGCCGGAUACAUACAGCAAGACGAAAAGACCCCGUGGAGCUUUACUACAACUUGGCAUUGUUGCAUUUUGAUGUUGGCGCAGAAUAGGUGGGAGACUUUGAAACUCUGACUUUGGUCAGAUGGAGUCGCCAGUGAGAUACCACCCUAAUAGCGAGAUGUGACUCACUUUCGGUUAAGACGAGAGGACAGUGUCUGGUGGGUAGUUUAACUGGGGCGGUUGCCUCCCAAAUUGUAACGGAGGCGUUCAAAGGUUCACUUAGCCAGGAUGGAAAUCUGGCUUCAAAGUGUAAUAGCAUAAGUGAGCUUGACUGCAAGACCCUCAAGUCGAGCAGAUACGAAAGUAGGAUAUAGUGAUCCGACACUAACGUGUGAGAGUGGUGUCGCUCAUCGGAUAAAAGUUACCCCGGGGAUAACAGGCUUAUUGCGCCCAAUAGACCACAUAGACGGCGCAGUUUGGCACCUCGAUGUCGGCUCAUCGCAUCCUGGGGCGGUAGUACGUCCCAAGGGUUUGGCUGUUCGCCAAUUAAAGCGGUACGCGAGCUGGGUUCAGACCGUAAACAACAUUGCGGUCCUUCACCGUAAGGUGAUUUAAUAAAGUUGACUCA